RNAcentral lists this ribosomal RNA (992 nucleotides) under Arthrobacter sp. Its description in RNAcentral is "bacterial SSU rRNA". It matches the Rfam family "Bacterial small subunit ribosomal RNA". Lineage: Bacteria; Bacillati; Actinomycetota; Actinomycetes; Micrococcales; Micrococcaceae. The record is from RNAcentral.
CCAACCUUUGUGUUAUGAUUCAGAUAUUGGCGUAAGAGCUCGUAGGCGGUUUGUCGCGUCUGCUGUGAAAGACCGGGGCUCAACUCCGGUUCUGCAGUGGGUACGGGCAGACUAGAGUGCAGUAGGGGAGACUGGAAUUCCUGGUGUAGCGGUGAAAUGCGCAGAUAUCAGGAGGAACACCGAUGGCGAAGGCAGGUCUCUGGGCUGUAACUGACGCUGAGGAGCGAAAGCAUGGGGAGCGAACAGGAUUAGAUACCCUGGUAGUCCAUGCCGUAAACGUUGGGCACUAGGUGUGGGGGACAUUCCACGUUUUCCGCGCCGUAGCUAACGCAUUAAGUGCCCCGCCUGGGGAGUACGGCCGCAAGGCUAAAACUCAAAGGAAUUGACGGGGGCCCGCACAAGCGGCGGAGCAUGCGGAUUAAUUCGAUGCAACGCGAAGAACCUUACCAAGGCUUGACAUGAACCGGUAAUACCUGGAAACAGGUGCCCCGCUUGCGGUCGGUUUACAGGUGGUGCAUGGUUGUCGUCAGCUCGUGUCGUGAGAUGUUGGGUUAAGUCCCGCAACGAGCGCAACCCUCGUUCUAUGUUGCCAGCGCGUUAUGGCGGGGACUCAUAGGAGACUGCCGGGGUCAACUCGGAGGAAGGUGGGGACGACGUCAAAUCAUCAUGCCCCUUAUGUCUUGGGCUUCACGCAUGCUACAAUGGCCGGGUACAAAGGGUUGCGAUACUGUGAGGUGGAGCUAAUCCCAAAAAGCCGGUCUCAGUUCGGAUUGGGGGUCUGCAACUCGACCCCAUGAAGUCGGAGUCGCUAGUAAUCGCAGAUCAGCAACGCUGCGGUGAAUACGUUCCCGGGCCUUGUACACACCGCCCCGUCAAGUCACGAAAGUUGGUAAACACCCGAAAGCCCGGUGGCCUAAUCCCUUUGUGGGGGGGAGCCGUCGAAAGUGGGAACCGGCCGAUUGGGGACUAAGUCGUAACAAAGGUAGCCCAAC